UGUAGGUGAACCUGCGGAAGGAUCAUUA
This 28-nucleotide non-coding RNA is filed under the name Drosophila melanogaster (fruit fly). Lineage: Eukaryota; Metazoa; Arthropoda; Insecta; Diptera; Drosophilidae. RNAcentral also lists the same sequence under 7 other names. The record is from RNAcentral.